AGCCCACAUCUCCUUCUCUUUCUUUCCUUUUCCUUUUCUCCUCCUCUUUUCUUCUUCACGCACAGCACCCAGCACAGCCCUUCUUCCUCCAUUUCUCUUAUUUCUUCCCUCUCCCUGCCUUUUGUCAUGCACACAGCAACCCGUGAGACCCGUCGAGUGAGAGCGAACCCGAGACACUGAGAACCACCGUGAGAGCUGAAAGAUGCGGAUCGAGGUUGAGAGACGAGUUGCAGAAAAAUGAGAAGAAAAAUGGGGGUUUAGGCUAUGUAUAGCAAGAGGAUAGUAUCCGGAUUGGAGAUUUCAAUGGGUUCUCCAAUGUUGUGUUCAUAUGAUUAGAAUCUAGUGGGAUGUUCGAGUCAUGAGUCCAAUGCAGCGAAGGUAUUUUGGCAUAGUUGAUGGUUUAGUAGCAGUGUAUUUGGAAUAUUAUGACUGAAGCUCGCCGCAACGGUUGUAAUUGUCGGAGCACGGGUUGUCCACUAUUUUAUAGGUUUGGUAUAGCUUGUGACGUUUGUGUCACUUAUUUUUUGUAAAGCCAUUAUUGUUAUGUAAAUAUUGUGUUAAUAAGACUCAAACAGAUAUAUGUUAAAUGGCUCUUUGUUGUAUUUAGUUUGUGAUAGAUGUAUAAGCUGUAAUUUUCGCUAUAUAGAUUUAUGUUUUUCGCUGCAUAAA
Long non-coding RNA from Alnus glutinosa, 669 nucleotides. RefSeq lists it as uncharacterized. Lineage: Eukaryota; Viridiplantae; Streptophyta; Magnoliopsida; Fagales; Betulaceae. The record is from RefSeq and is a predicted model, not a curated record. The transcript is spliced from 3 exons.